CUGCUUUUAUUUUUUAUACCAUAAAUUUUACUCUUCACUAGUAAAAUUAAUUGAUUGAGAACGUGGAACUUUGGGAUUAGGCGUCUGUAACAAUAACCAUUUUACCCAGCCAAUGUAAUAUGCCAAUUGUUAUUUGUCUUUUACUAUAAUUUGUUUCUAUCUUGCCUCAAUCGAAUGUAGAUAAUAUGCCAAUUGAUAAAUCAUGGAUGCGAUCAGGGAGGUCAACACAUGAAUAUUUUACUGGAGUUGCCAAUUUUAUUGAUUACACAUAUAAGCAGCUGAAGUAUGAUGACAUGAAAAUUUAUUGUCCUUGCAUUAAAUGUAGUAAUAGGGAUAGACGGGUUCGUGAUGAAGUACACCAACAUCUUCUGUUUAAGGGUAUUAGGCAUGAUUAUACUCGAUGGUAUUUGCAUGGGGAGGAUGAGGAUAAUGAUAGUGCUGAAAGUGAAAUUUGGAGUCAAUUGAUGACAUGCAUGGUUUAAUAGAAGCAAGAGCCAAAUGGAGAUGUAGGAAAGUUUUACAAAUUGUUAGAAGAGGCGGAAGAGCCAUUUUACACAGGUUGUGAGACAUACUCCAGCUUGUCCUUUGUUGUUACCUUGAUGCAUAUCAAGUGCAGCAAUAAUUGGAGCAACAAAUCUUUUAACAUGUUGCUGGAAGUGUUGAAAAAAGCAUUUCCUUUUUGUAAAAGGUUGCCUACAACCAAGUAUGGUGCAAAGAAGAUUGUUAAAGAUCUCGGCCUUCAUUAUGAGAAGAUUGACGCAUGUAAGAAAGAUUGUGUAAUCUAUUAUAAGGAGCAUGAAAAUUUAUCUCAAUGUCCUACAUGUAAGAUUUCACGAUGGAAGUCACAAGGCCGGGGUGGGAAAGUGAAAGGUAAAAAGGUUCCUUGGAAGGUGUUGCGUUAUUUUCCACUAACACCAAGGCUUCAAAGAUUAUUCAUGUCUUCUAAGACUGCUGCAGAUAUGAGAUGGCAUUAUGAGGAACGUGUGAAAGAUUGUGUGUUAAGGCACCCAGCAAAUUCUGAAGCUUGGAAAUCUUUUGAUAGAAUACAUGAGUCUUUUGGUAAUGAGUCGCGCAAUGUACGACAUGGUUUGGCAACUGAUGGAUUCAACCCCUUUGGCAAUAUGAGUAUGAAGUAUAGCUUAUGGCCAAUCCUUCUAUUCCCAUACAACCUUCCUCCAUGGAUGUUGAUGAAAGAGCCUUACUUAUACCAGGAAAAGAGGACCCUGGUCAAGAUAUUGAUGUAUACAUGAGGCCAUUGAUAGAUGAGUUGCAAGACUUAUGGGAAAUUGGCAUUGAAACAUAUGAUAUAUCUACAAAGCAGAAUUUUCAAAUGCGAGCUGCAAUCAUGUGGACUAUCAACGACUAUCCUGCAUAUGCUUAUAUAUCAGGUUGGAGUACACAAGGAAAAUUGGCUUGCCCAUGUUGUAGGUCCAAUACCUCACAUCUUAGUUUACUUCAUGGCUCCAAGCAAUGUGUAUGGGUCAUCGACGUUUCUUACAAUUAGAUCACCCAUGGCGUAAUUAGAUGAUGCAGUGAUAAUACAAGAGAGAAGAGGGUUGCUCCAACUAGACCAUUUAGGCAUUGAUAUGAUAAAUGAACUUAGUGAAUUGAGAGAAAUAACCCAUGGUAAGAAUGGAACAAAGCAAACAAGAGUUGGGUUUGGAAAGACUCACAAUUGGAAGAAACAUAGUAUCUUUUUCAACUUGCCUUAUUGGAAAACUCAUUUGUUGCGCCAUAAUUUGGAUGUUAUGCACAUUGAGAAGAACAUAUUUGAAAAUGUCAUUGGCACAGUGAUGAACAUUGACGGUAAGACAAAAGAUUCGUUAAAUGCUCGCCUUGGUCUCCAAGAAAUGGGUAUAAGAUCAAAAUUUCAUCCUAUAGAAGAGGUUGGGAAGAUUAUUUGGGCUAAAGUUGAUUAUGAACUAUCAAAUGAUGAUAAGAAAGCUGUAUUUCAAUGGUUGAUGAACUUAAAAGUUCCAGAUGGAUACUCGGCAAAUAUAUCUUGGGGUGUCAAUGCGACAAAAUACAGUAUUUCAGUAAUGAAAACUCUUGACUGUCAUGUGUUUUUAGAGAGAUUAAUCCCACUUGUGGUGCAAGAGUUAUUACCUAGAGAUGAAUGUGAUGCUUUAAUAGAGUUUAGUUACUUUUAUAGAGAAUUAUGUGCCAAAGUAUUGAGAAUAGAAGAUUUAGAAUUUCUUGAAAAUCAUAUUGUCAUAACUCUUUGCAAGUUGGAGAAAAUAUUCCCUCCUGCCUUUUUCGAUAUCAUGGGAAGCAAAUUAUGAAUAUUGUAUCUUGUCACUUAGCAUGGGAAGCAAAAGUCGCUGGCCCAGUACAGUUCAGGUGGAUGUAUCUUGUAGAGAGGUAUUUGCACAAGCUAAAGAGUUAUGUUCAUAAUAAGGCUCACCCAGAAGGGUCUAUUGCGGAAGGUUACUUGGCAGAUGAAUGCCAUCUGGUAAAGCUUUUGGGAAAAGUGAAUUAAGGGAGAUGAGUAUUGAGCUUCACAGUGCUGCCACAUAUUAUGUCUUAACAAAUAAUGAUGAUUCUGAGCCUUUUAUUCAAGAACAUAAAAAUUCUCUAGUCCACUCUGGAGUCCAGGAUGUGGAUGGGACACAUAGGCAUCAAUUUGCCAAUUGGUUUAAAAAGAGAGUAAGAAAAUAUUUUUUUGUUUGCAAUUUCGCUUAAGUGUUGGGAUCAUAUAAGGGUCAUUGAAAAUAUAUAUUUUUCUUAAGUUGUAGAUUGAACAACUAUACGAGGACGGGAAAGUGAGUAAGGAAAUGCUUGCUUUGGCCCAUGGUCCUGAAAGGAGAGCCACUUACUAUUCUGGUUACAAUAUAAGCAAGUUUAGGUUCCAUACCUUGCAUCGUGAUGAGAAUAAAAAAACACAAAAUAGCGGUGUCAUGGUUAAAGGGGAGAAUCAAAUUGAUGAUGUUCCUUGGUAUAUAACAUUAACAGAAAUAGUAGAGCUUUGUUAUACACAGAAGAAAUUGGUAUGGAACAUUAACAGAAAUAGUAGAGCUUUGUUAUACACAAAAGAAAAGGGUUGUAUUGUUCAAUUGCAAUUGGCAUGAUACAACCCAAAGAGGAAGGGGUUAUAAGAUUGAUCGCUAUGGGAUUACAAGUGUUAACACAACACGCAACUUACAUACUAAGGAUCCAUUUGUGUUGGCAAGCCAAGCAACACAAGUAUUUUACGUCAAAGAAAUAAAGAAUAAGACAUGGAGUGUGGUGGUGUAAACGAAGGUUAGAAAUGUUUAUGAAAUGCCUAAUGACGAAGGAGAAACAUACCAAGAAGAAGAGGCUCAAAGGUGCAUACACGCGACUACCAACCAAAAUGAAGACGAAAGUAAUGAUAUUAUUAACAGUGGGGAUGAGGGUGGGGAUAGGGACGAGGAUGAGACUAAUCAUAUGGAUUUGGUAUGAGAUAUAGUGUGAUUCUGUUUAUUGCAUUAUUUGGUGUCGUAAAUUUUAUAUUUAUAAAUGAGUAGUAUUUUUAUUUAUGUUUGGAAUACAAAACUCUUUGGUUAUUUCAGUUGUUAUUAUAUUUGGUGGAGUAUUUUUUUAUUACUAUUUUGAUUGUUUUAUGUCUAAUUCUAUUAUAAUAGUAUUUCUUUUCUAGUAUUGUCUAUUUUGCUAAUGAACACAAAUGGUAGCUAUGGCAAGAAAAGGAAGGAGUCGCAAUACAUCAUCAACCAAUGAACAGAGAGAGUUACUUAGAUCCUCUGUAGUCUAACAUGCCUCUGUUGAACCAUCUCAUGAUAAUGAAGUACAAGAAAUUCAAGAGACAUGCUCUGAGGCUCAACCUUCAAAUACCCAAGGAUGAAGUGCUGGAAAAAAAAAAAAAAGGCAGAUGGAAGGCCAAGGGAGGAAAAGGAAAGGGUAUGCUGAUUGAAAUAUAUAAGGGAUGCAUUGUGACCAAAGAAGCUGCUCGGAAUAUAGGUGUACUUUUCAAGCAAGAGAUUAAAGGAGCUUGGGUAAAAUUUUCAGAUUAUCUGGAGACUCAAGUAAAUCUAUUAAUUGAGCUUUUCAUCGAAGCUGGAUAUACUUACACAUGUUCUGAGGAAGAAUUGAAGGUUGCAUUCACUGGACAUAUUAAAAAAAAAAUUGCUGAUUGAAUGUGGAACUUGAGAAGGCCAAUUUUUCAAAAAUACAAAAACACUGGUCAGAGGUAUGCAAACCCCCCAGAGAAUGUACCUGAUCCUGCAAUAUGGAUUGCAAUGGUUGAUGAAUGGUUAAAGCCUAAGUAGCAGGAUCAAAGUAAAAGAAACAAAUCUAAUCGAGAAAAAUCAACAAUAGUGCAUACCACAGGUUCAGUUCCAAUGGCGAAAUACCAAAAAGAUGAGGAAAAAAUGGAAAACAAAAAGGCUGCUGUUGAACAGGAAAACCUUGAUGUCAAUGAUUGGGAGAUAUAUAUAGGGAGGUGAUUGCCUCUAGUCAUGGUCGUGUUCUUGGCUUAGGCAGUGGCGUCAAAGCUAAAGGUGCAUACUACUCCUCAACUAACCAAAACUGUAAUAAGCUUAGGUGCGUGGAAUUGGAAGAAAAUCUUGGGCAUUUGAAAGAGGAAUUGAAUGAUGUCAAAGGUCAAUUGAGCACUUUGCAACAACAAGUUCAGAUGCUGAUUAACAAUAACCCACAAAAUUCUGCUCACAGUGCAAGGCAAUCACCUACUGCGAACAAUGUUGGAAAGCUAUUCCGAUAUCUUAGUGACGAUGUCAUGGAGGAGCCCAACUAGUUCUUUUAUCAUCUCCCAAAGACAUUUUAUUUAGUAAUGUCAGUCUUGGAAAUUAUAUUCAAAUUUUAGAAGUUGGAGACAUAUAUGAGUUGAUAUGAAAUGAAUAUUGUUCAGUUUUUUUAUAUUAAUGA
Long non-coding RNA from Prunus persica (peach), 4860 nucleotides. RefSeq lists it as uncharacterized. Lineage: Eukaryota; Viridiplantae; Streptophyta; Magnoliopsida; Rosales; Rosaceae. The record is from RefSeq and is a predicted model, not a curated record. The transcript has 9 exons.